Molecule: non-coding RNA, 753 nt
Organism: Prunus mume (Japanese apricot)
Lineage: Eukaryota; Viridiplantae; Streptophyta; Magnoliopsida; Rosales; Rosaceae
Source: RefSeq, a predicted model, not a curated record
GUUCCAGAAACCAACACGAUCGACUAGUACCGGACCCAUGCACCGUCUCUCUCUCUCGAUGCAGCCCUUCUUUUUUCUUUUCUUUCCCGUAAAAUGAAGAACAACCCUGGACAAGAGCCGAGUUGCAGAUUGAUGAGAUGAUGAUGAUGAAGAAUUGGAGUUUAUGUAGAGGAAGCAUGUCCUUUUGAGGGGAAUGUUGUCUGGCACGAGGCCACCAACCUUGGGUCCUUCCAAAUUUAAAUCCAUACUGAUCUUUGAUCAGAAUCUACGUACUACGUAGAGACGCUGAGGAACUAUGUGUAUGUUAGUGUCCUCGGACCAGGCUUCAUUCCCCUCAAUUCACUGCUUCCAUCUAAUUUGCCAAAACAGCAGUGUUCUUGAUUAAUUUCGCCAAUAUUGGUAUUCCGAUCUACUGCGUGUGGCGGAUCCAUCGAUCUCCAGUGGGUUGCAGGUGUGCGAGACAAAGGAAAGAAGAAAAAAAGAAGAAGACGACUUUUAUUUUCAUUAGGUGGAACAGAAAGCGAUCACUCUGGAAAUGUUAUGCAGGUUUUAUAUAUUGCCACCUGCAGUGAAGACGAUGAAGCAUCAUGCCUCAACACUUUAGGACUCGCUUGCUUAUUUACGGGGAGAAGAACCUCUUAUGUACUUCUUCGUAGAGAAAUAUGAUUCUGCAUAGAAGCGUUUUUUGUCCCAUCUAAAAUCACUCCCAAUUCAUUCCGCCAAAUAUAUAAAAGAAUUUCCAACCUUUACAAA